AAGCUUAGUUCAUCGAAAAUGAAGCAAAUCCCAAUAUGGGUACUGUUCAUUUCAUUCUCUCUCCUCUUCCACUCAACAAAUUCUAAAGUGGGGGAGGAGGUCAAGAGCUCACUCAUCAACUUUCUUGCAAAACUGAGUGGCACCAAUGGGCAACCAGAUCCAAGUUUUGGUUGGAACAAUGCCACUGAUCCCUGCCAGGAUAAGUGGAAGGGUGUGAUCUGUGAUAGCCAGAACAGAAG
Molecule: unclassified non-coding RNA, 239 nt
Filed under: Hevea brasiliensis (rubber tree)
Lineage: Eukaryota; Viridiplantae; Streptophyta; Magnoliopsida; Malpighiales; Euphorbiaceae
Source: RNAcentral